Long non-coding RNA from Microtus oregoni (creeping vole), 553 nucleotides. RefSeq lists it as uncharacterized. Lineage: Eukaryota; Metazoa; Chordata; Mammalia; Rodentia; Cricetidae. The record is from RefSeq and is a predicted model, not a curated record. The transcript has 3 exons.
GCGGGCCUGGCCUGCGGGGGUCGCGGUCGAGUGGCGUGCGGGCGAUCGGCCCUGCCCUGCCCCGGUACUGCAGCAGGGAGGGCCCGGGCUGCGCCCCGAAACUGCCAGGCCCCAGGGGGCCGUGCCCCGACCUGGGCCUCUUUGGAUGCUCCCUGGACUCCUGGCCACCUGUGUACUUUACCUCCGUCCUCCAGCACCUGCUCCAUCACCUGGGCGCUUCAUACUUCCUCCUAACAGGCUGCCGUGUUAGGCAAACAGAAGGAGGAAGGAGGAACUUAGUCCUGGGCCUCCACUCUUGGGCUCUGCUAUUCCUGCCGUCAGGAAUGUCAGCCUCACCCUGAAGCAGAAGAGACUGAAGAAGCUGUGACAUUCAGGCCUUUGCGGACACAUUAAAUGCAAGUGGGUACUUCCUGUCUGUCCAGUGCCAGGACUGGCGCUGCCCCUGAAGGUGAGGCCCAGUGGCAGGGUAGUGAGCCAGGACUCAGGCACGUUACAACCAUGAAGGUGAAGGUUCCGCAGGGCAUCGGGAACAGGCACCACGUGACAUAGUAUG